Molecule: ribosomal RNA, 497 nt
Filed under: uncultured bacterium
Lineage: Bacteria
Description: partial 16S ribosomal RNA
Rfam family: Bacterial small subunit ribosomal RNA
Source: RNAcentral
GAUGAACGCUGGCGGCGUGCCUAAUACAUGCAAGUCGAGCGAACAGACGAGGAGCUUGCUCCUCUGACGUUAGCGGCGGACGGGUGAGUAACACGUGGAUAACCUACCUAUAAGACUGGGAUAACUUCGGGAAACCGGAGCUAAUACCGGAUAAUAUAUUGAACCGCAUGGUUCAAUAGUGAAAGACGGUUUUGCUGUCACUUAUAGAUGGAUCCGCGCCGCAUUAGCUAGUUGGUAAGGUAACGGCUUACCAAGGCAACGAUGCGUAGCCGACCUGAGAGGGUGAUCGGCCACACUGGAACUGUGACACGGUCCAGACUCCUACGGGAGGCAGCAGUAGGGAAUCUUCCGCAAUGGGCGAAAGCUUGACGGAGCAACGCCGCGUGAGUGAUGAAGGUCUUCGGAUCGUAAAACUCUGUUAUUAGGGAAGAACAAAUGCGUAAGUAACUAUGCACGUCUUGACGGUACCUAAUCAGAAAGCCACGGCUAACUACGUG